CACUUGGUUUAUAUCGUUUUCGGAAUUGCAGUCAGUGAAGAUAAACAUAACGAGGAUGUGUAAUAUUAUACUAUGCCUAUGGUACAUGUUUUGGAUGUUUUUAUUUAAAUAUCUAUACAAAAACGAAAAAUAGGAACAAGGUCAACAGGAAAGCAAUGCUACCGGGGUCAUUGACGGCAAUGCAACGUUUUCCUUUGAUGUAGUGUCAUAUCCUGUUCCAAACAAAGAGGGAUAUGUAUGGCACAAAUGGAAUUGGACAACGUAUUCUCAAGUUCACAAUAGUGACAAAUACACCAUCAACAAUGCCGGUGUUUCUACAAUAUUCACUAUGAAUGAUAUUGAAGAGGACGAUUUUUCAGCCUACUACUAACAGUGUCCAACAGAAUAACACCAGACUUCAACAAAAUAUUCAACUUAAGACCUCAAGAUGUCACUCAGUGUCCAACCGAUGUAACAAUUAAUGCAACGACCUCGUCUUCAGCUAUUGUGGAGUGGAUCAGUCAAUUUAAUGGUGGACUUCAGCAAACAUUUGUUAUUUUGUAAAAAGCAAAUGAAUGUUCAGAUUACUUGGUUUUUACGGAAGAUGAGCUCGACCAGAAGAUACAAUACGAAACCAUAAUAACGGGAUUAAAAGACGGAUCGACUUAUGAUGUCAUUAUAUUCUCAAGAAACGAAUUAGGAUUGUAAACAAUUGUAAACAAAAUAAUUCACUCCAAUUCGACACAGAACUUCUUGUCGAUGACCCGCCGCCUUCAAAUGCAGCGUUGAUCGGAGGUUUGGCUGGUGGUAUAUCUGCAGUUUGCGUUGCAUUCGUCGUAAUUGUUGUUGUUCUUUUCUUACGGAAAAGAAUGUCUUGUACGUACAUAUAUGUAUUAAAAUUAUAUUUAUAUUAUUUGAAGUCACAAAUCGCAGAAAAAAAUGUUAAUCUCAACCUUUUCAACCAUUUCACCGGCUACUUCGGACAGUCUACCAAACGUUAAUAUUGCAAUAAAAUAGAAAGAAACAAGCAAAACAGUCAAAAACUAGCGAUUACCUGACACUGAUAACAAAAACCACCACACAACACACAACAAAUAUCUAUAUCAAAUAUAUGCUUGUCCUCGAUACCGGAGGGACUUAAUAAGAAAUUAAACUGUUAAAUAUCCCUUCUUGUGUCUAAAAAAAUAAAGCAACUACAAAAUCAAGAAUCACAAACAAUGCAGCGUUACCACAAUAAACACAAAUGUAGUAAUUAUCAUUUUAAUACGCUUUUUAUUACAUAAAUACUUUUAGUUCUUGUUUUGUACCAUUAUUCUCUGCUUUAUUUUCUGAUUUACGACUUAACCUCAUAUGUCAGUUUGACGUACAUAUAUAUUGACGAACUUCAUAAGGAUACGUCUUAAGUUGCCAAUUAUUGCAAAAAUAUGAAACGAGUUUAGGAAAAGUAUUUUAGCGAGGCUUUGGCGAACUUCAUCAAUCUUUCGUAACAAGUUUGAAAACAUUUUCUUAUUUAAUGGCAAACAAUCGAAGAUUAUUGUUUCCACGCGACACUUCGUCCCCAAAAAUGAUGUUUUGUUUUCUUGGUAAGGAGUCUGAUUUAAAUUGAUAGGACACAAUGACGUUAAGGCUCAACAGUUUUAAACCUUUUAUUUUAUAAGGCAUACUGUGUGUGAUGUGUUUGGUUUCUAACGAUGACUGCAUCAUAUCUUUGAAAAGUAUUUGCAUUAGGUGCUCUGAAUUGUUUCCCUCCGUCUGCAGAUAGAGUUGGGAUCUCUAAUCAUUGAAGUAUUUGGGGUUUCCCUUUUCGUUUUAUUAUUAUUAUUUGUUUUAUUGAUAAGUUUCCUCAAGUUAAUGCAUACUUUGAUAAGAUUUAUUUUUGCGUUUUAUCUUUAUUAAGAAUUGUUGGGAUAAGAGUGAGGUUUGUGCACAUAAACUGGUUUAAUUUUUAAUAUCAAUUCUUGUUAAACAUACCAAUUAUAUAUAUAUAUAUAUGUUGUUGUUCAAUAUAAUAUAUAUGCACUGUGCUAUUUGUAGAGUUUUGUGCUGUUCUAUGUUUCUUGUUUGUGAUUUUGAGUUCUAUGUCUUUGGCGUUUGCCCAUUGCCACUAAACCGGGUUUAUGUUUAAACUUUUUGCUACUGAGCAUGUUUCUGUAGCUUUGUGCAUAUAUAUUUAGUUAAAUUGCACUAGUGGUAUAUACUAUAAAAUGUUAUAGUUGUAUCACACUCGAAAUAAGCAACGUCAUGUGAUAAAUUAAUGUACAAAUAAGCUUAUCAUUUUAUCAAGCCGUUCGUGAUUUUUAAAUUUUGAUAACCAAUUUAAAUUUUAAAUUCGACAAUUAUAAUUGAUUAUUUUUAUAUUUCUUUUCUAAUUAAAUGAUCGUAUUUGUUCUAGUUCACUUUCGCAAGAAUCAUCUGAUCUUUAUCUAGAUUUUAUGUAUAUAAGUUUAUAUUUAUAUACCAGUCCCGAUAAACACUGGAGUUUUUACACUUUUACUAUUGUGAUGAGAAUUAUACUUGCCCAUCAAUAAUAAUCAAUAUGUUAACCGAUGUCCCCGUAAAUCUUGGCAACAUCUACUCAAGUCCUUUUCAAGCAACUAAAAGGCAUGGUGUCGAUUGCCAGUCGUAAUAAAACAACGAAAGAACAGCAAAUCACAAAUGACUUCACCUUGAAAUGCGCAUGCCAAAGCUGAGUGAAUACAAUUCAUGAGAAAGAUCUUAUUACAGCAGAAUAAAUACACAUUCAAAAUAAAAAGAAAUUAGAGAUGUGUUAGAAAAUUUAAAAAAAUGAAAUCAAUGGACUGCCGCUUUGAAGAAAAAAUAUAGUUGAACUUUACCUCUUGCUUCAAAAGUAUUAUUCAAGAAAGAAACAGAAAAGAAAAUAUAGUCAGGCAGUUCUUUAAAUCUGUUUCAAUAUCAGUCUUUAAGCGAAAAUCACGUUUCAAAUGCCUCUUGAAAAAAAAAUUGGGUUGGGUCAUUUUCAGUUAAUAAUAAAAAUUGUGCUUAUAAACACAUGAAUGUUUAUGAAUGCCAGCUCACAUUUCCAUUGUUUAUUUUUUGCAUUGCCUUUUAUGUUUUGUAUCCAUUGCCAUACGCUACGAAUUGCUUUAAAAUUAUUGAUUGCCUCAUUAGAGCAGAAUUGAUGACACAAGAGCAAUACUAAUCAUACUUUUUCGUUGAAAACCAUUUAUGGCUUCAAACAAAUAAAACAGAAAAAAAACGUAUAAGUGCACAUAGAUAUGCUGAACCUUGGAUUUUGUCAACAUCCUUUAUCAUGCGUACCUAAAUACUGAUUUAUUGCGGCUAUUCCUUAAUAGAGUACAUAUUAUUUUCAGAUAAAAAAGGUGAAUCUUGUCAGGCACUUUCCAAGGGCCAGUAAGUCUAUUAGUUUUGGUAAAAACAAGGAAGCCUAUAAGUAGAUAAAUUAUCUGUUUAGAGACAAAGCGGUGAAUCUAGUAGCUAAUAAACGAUCAAUAUACAAUUUACAAUGCAUCAUUGACAGCACUUGCAUCAAACUAUCUUUAUUGAUACAUAAUAGGAUUACAUCAGCGAAACAGGAGCUCCUUUCGGGUCCCAAACACCAAAUAAUCUUAGUCAUGAUUAAAAUGAGUUUUAAUUUCCUAAGCCUCAAAGAAAAGACACACUUGUAGUUUCAAUCAGUUAUUGUUUUACUUGACAAACUAUUUUUUGCAUUAAUUGAUUAAACAUUCACGUACUCAUAACAAUGCAAUGUCUGAUAUGUUUGUUUAAAAAAAACGUUUUUUUAAAAAAAAAACACAUCUGAGACAAGCGAAGGCUACUUGUGGAUGAUUUAAUGGAACACAAAAGCUAAGUACUUUCUUCUACUUACACACCACUUCAAAGGAAUAGAAGCCAUGAACCACCACAGUAAGAAAAGCAAAGGCCACUAAUGCAUUGGUGUACGUAGAGAAGGGGCCACUAACAGGAAACGGAGACUACAAACGCACAACCGAAAGGAAGCAAAGGCGAGAGUGUGGUAUUGUGUUGUGCGGAAAAUCAGAGAACCCGGAGAAAACCCCGCUUUGUGAAAACCAACUAAACUCGCAUUUGCCCAGGCCUGGAAUCGAGCCCGUGCCGUGUUUUUUAGAAGCGAAUGAGCUAAGGCUAAAACUAAUGAUUUGGUUACUGGUACAUCCAUUUCAAUAACAUGUUGGGUGAUUCUAAAAAAUGUUUCUUCAAUUCGGCGAAAAAAAGGACAAACAUACUCUUAUUUGGACAUGGCUUUCAUAUGUUUUGUUUCGAACGCUGUAAAAAUGGCGACUAAGUUUGUUUAUGUUGUUGAGAUUUGGGGUAUGACUAUUUGUUAUAGUUUAUACGAUUUCAAAUAUAAUAACUAAAGUAUCAACAUUUCACUUAGUACUUUAACCAUUGCAGAAGAGGUUCGUGUUUAAUUAACUGUUUUCCCUCUAAAGGACGUGUAAUUAUCAUAAUUUGUUCAUACCAUUUUCUCGGUAAGUGACAAUGUCGUAUUAUCGGGUAGUUCCAUAUCGACAUUCAUGGGGUGGUUGACAUUGAGAAUAGGCCAGUAAUUUUCCGACUUGCAUGCGCAUGAUCAGAUCUGGUUCCGACAAACUGAACAAAAUGUGUUGAUGUCUGUCAUUUCGGAAUUUGAAAGUAGUAGUCCCCAUUUAUACUUUUCACAUGUUAACCGUAGGACUUUUUAAAGUUUAAACCAAUAUAAAGUUUGUGAAAACACAAACAAAUUUUACAAAUAUUUACGUUUAUACUCAUAGGAAUUCAUUCUUCAGAAAACUGCGGACACUAAAUGCUGUCGAAGAAGAUGCAGAUGAUCUUCCUGAUUAGGUUGAAAAUCCAAUGUAUGAAACCUCACAACCUGCAGCAGUGAGACAGGAAUCUCCUGAUGUCCUUUACGCGUUACCCAAGAAGAAGGGUGGCGAUAUAUACGCUGUAGUAGACAAACCAAACAAACGACCAAGUUGAUGGUGCUGCUUAAGCCUUACUCUAACUUGCAGAAUUUGGGUACGAUACACCCCAUUUUAGAAAAACGUUUCUGAAACGUAGUCAAAUGUCGGGACCUACAUGGUGGACUUCUACACGAAUCAGGAAGCAUUUUGAAUUCUCCAGUCAAGUAUUUCUUAUCCAACCUUCAUUACCGUAUUAAAUUAUGUGGUACUGUUCUGAUCUAAAGUAUAUAGUGACUGAUUUCUGUCAUCUCGUUCUAGCGUGUUGGCGUUCUGAGGCCAUGUAAAUAAAUUGUUUACACAUACAAUGCCAGUGUAUACGCAUUAAUCGUGAUACACAAACACAAAAGGAGGCUAGUCUAUCGUUUGAUAUCAAUACAUUCAAAUAAAAGGAGAAACUAUAAUAUGUCAUACUCAACCAAAGUAUGCGCAUUAAAGGUUACUAAAUAGUUGUGAAAUAUGUUGCAGAAUGAAGAUCUCAAUAUACGGACUACGCAGAAUAGACUUAAGAAUUGAAUUGAUUUUUAUCACUUUCGGUUGCGUGCAAACUCAACUUUGUAAAUUCUGUAAAUAUGUUUGAUCGGAAUAUGAAUUGAAUUUAUUAAAAUUAUGUUAUGAACAUAUACUUUUUAGUAUUCUUGUUAUAACCAAUUGAAACUUAUUUCAGUUCGAAAUCGUUUCAAUGCAGAAUGACAGGAACAUUUUAAAUGAAUUCAACAGAUAAUAGUCCUUAUCAAUGAAAAUAAACCAAUUGAAAAUAGAUAUGUCAUUUUACCAGAACCAGUAAAAGCGUGAUGAUACACAUAAAACUGCUUUUCUUCCUACAGGGAACACAUUCAUGAACAUGAAAAUGAAAUAGAUAUUAAAACAUUAAAAUUAUCAAUAUAUAACGCUACGUUUAUAUGUUUUAAUUUGCUUUCUGUUGAUUGAUCAGAGAAAUAAAAGUUCACUGUUUUUAAAGUUAAGCCCGUUCUCGCUUUGAAAUCAAACUUCAAGGCGCACACGGCUGGGACAUAAUUUCAACGACUUCAAUUCCGAGAUGACUUCUCAGUUCUCAUACAAUUUGACACGCUAUUCUAAUUAACUAUAACAAGCUGACAUAUUAUAUCCUUUUAAGUCAUAUAAGAAAGAGAUUAUGGUUUAUUCCAGUGUUAGUUCGCAAUUAUGUUUACCUUCUGGUCAUAAAAAGUAAAUAGUUGUUCGUGCUUACUACAUGAAUUGUAUUGCAAUCGUACACUGAAAUAAAAAAAAACUAUUCUCUACUUAUCAUAUGCUUUCCGCCUGUUUAUAUGUAUUUAUUAGUGAAUAAAAUGAUAUUUUACUGUUUAGAUAGUCUGCUCGCAAGUCCAUAUCAAAUCGGCAGUGCACAGAGAGCUCGGACACAAUAUUGACGGCGUCAUUUCCAAUAUGAAGAAACGAUCAAAUACAAUUUGGCUCGCUUUUCUGAUCAAGUACAAUAAACAGUCAUUUUAAACCCCCUUUACUUAUGUCAUAAAAAAGUAUUAAAAAAAUGGUAACCUGGCCGUGUUAAUCCAGCGGGUUGACUAGUGUCAGAAUGGUUUGAAAGUUUGACAUGUAAUGGAGAUUGUUUUUGUGUAAUUCCUGAGACAAAGCAGCUUUUUGAAAGGUAUACCAUAACUAUUCUUAGUAUUACAGAGUAUUGCGAUGAUUGAAAAACACGUAUUAUGUUUCAGAACAAAUAUGUUUUCAUCCCAAAAAGUAAAACGAACCGAUCUGUACUGUAUUUUUUAUAUUUAUGGUAGGGCGUCAACAUAUACAGGGACUGAGUUCUUGAGAUUAAAAAUGUUCGAACUUUAAGGUAGUAAGCCAGUUUGUUUGCUUAAGCACGACCCGAAAUGACGUCCUUGUUAAGUAGGUCUCAACGCAAGGAAGGAAAUCAGAGCAGAACCGUAUUUCACAAAAAAAUCGCAUUUAAGUCCCAAAACAAUGGGUAUCCUAAUGUAAGCGAUUCACUCGUUGUGUUUAUCCUAAUAAGAUGACCUGUCUUUCUUUUCUGAAAAUACUGUUAGCGGGGAAGUAAAAUUUAUUAUUUAGAUUAUCAGAGGUCGAAAGAGCUCGUUUCCGAUACUCCUUCAUUCUAUUUGACUUACUUUACAAUGACCAUAUGAAUGGUGUUUCUAGUUUAAGUUUAUAAUGACCAAAAAAUCCUAAUUUUAAUAAUUGACAUCAGGGUGAUUUCAGACGGCUUUACGACGGAAAAAAAAACUAAAUGUGUUUACAUUGCACACAUCUGUAUAAUUGAGUCCUUAAACGACAAAAUACACAUUGUUUGUUUCAAAAUGUCUUCUGAAAAUAUGGCCAAAUUUUAGCGAAUACAACAAAUUUGUUUUCCCUCGUAACCAUCGAAGAGGAUGUCGAAACGCGUUAGUGUUUACCUUAGAAAGCCAAUAGGCUAUCGCAUGGUCACUUACAAUCAAUAAGAUGUCCAUUGGCAUUUUAGGUGUGGAGCAGUAAAUAGGUGUAGUCGUCUAGGAAUUAUAGUGCAUUCUUCUCAUCAGAUGUUCCGAUGAUCGACUCUGGUCCCCUGGUCGCUCUUCUGGUAUUCGGCUUUUAUUGAUCCAAUUACAGAAAGCUUAAUUUCUUCCACAAUAGAAUGUUAUUUCGAAAGAAGAAAAGAACACUGCCUUGAAUUUGUGUAGUGAAUGUAAUUCGCUCAGGCAUAGUUCGAGAUAUUCAAAAACAAGUUGAGAUAUCGAAGGCUUCUUUGAGCAAGCACUUUUACCUUGGCCAUAACACUGAACAAUUGAUCGAGUUGGUCAUAGCCAUUAAUUAUGAUAAUAAUCAUUCAUAAAUCUAUCCCAUUUAUACUUGUUAUGCAUCUGUAUGAAGUUUGAUAUAGGCAUUGUUUAAAUUUUAAGACCAUUGGUAAAUUUAAAAUGAUUACCCCAACAACCGAAAGUCACAUAUAGUUUGAUACAAUUUGAAUAAAACAAUUGCAAUAAAACACUCCUUUUGCAAAUAAAACAAUUGAAAGUACGGUGCGGAUGUAAGAUGAACAUCUGGUCAAAUACAUGACAAAUGUUUGAAAUUGUUUUAAUUGAUGGUUAAUUUUCUAGCAUAUUGAAAUAUCUAAAUUGAACAUGCAUUUCAAUAAGUACAAUACCAUAGGGAAUGCAUGCAGCGGAGGGGUAUGUAAGUUUAAUUAACACUCAAUAACAAUAUUAGUCUGAAGAUUAUGUAUGAAAAGUUUGAUUGAGCUUAUAUUGACUAAUAGUAUCAUGGAAUUGUUUUUUCUUAUUUAUUUUUUUUAAAUUAAACAUCAUGUAAUUUAACAAUACAAACACCAUUUUGGGUAAAAUUUCUUGGUUUGUUUCAGCAAAAUCAAAUCUCUUAAAUAAAGAGUAUUUAAUUGAGUCUCAUUUCAGAGCUCACAUUUCUUAUUUCCGGGGUAAUAACUCGGUAAAUAUAUAUUAUGUAAAUUAAAAGAGAUACAACAACUUCAAUUCUAUUCCCGGCCUUUGCGCAUGUGAGUUGAGGUAUAAGUAGGUUUUACUUCGGGUUUUCCGGGCUCCCUACAACAUAAGAUUGCCAUCUCUCGUAAUAUCUUGCCAUCGAGAGUGACUUAGAAUAAGUUAAUGUAAUUUUCUUCAUAGUCGUUGUAAAAAAUAAAUAGUUUAAACUAAUUUAAAUAAUACUUUCGCAUCGUUGAUAAACAUCCAAGUAGUAAAAUAUUAGUUUAACUUCUAGAUUACUAACAUAUUAUUUAUGCAUACAAUAUAUCCUUAAACAUACUAAAAGAUGAGUUUCCACAUAACCUUAAUUUCGCUCUUAAAACGGCCGACGCGGAAAAUCUUACAUCAGCAUUUCUUUUCCCGAACUAUUCAUCAGUUUUACCAUACUUUCAUUCUUGAAACAUAUAAAAGAAAUUACUGCUUAAAGGUUAUCAAGAGGUUAUAGUAUUGCCCGGAAAUAUAUAAAUAAUUACUGUUUAUGAUUUGUUUUAGAUAAUUUGGGACUUGUCGCCCUUGAUGAUGCAAAAUUCGCAUACUGAUAUAUGCUUUUCAGGCAUUAGUUAUUUAUACGUAUAUUGUAUUUUUAAACUAAUGAAUUGCAUUUUAAGAGUAAUGUUAUCAUCGUUAAUAUUUGUUUAAAGAUGUUUCAGAAUACGUUAUGAAAAAAUGACAUUGUUGUUCUAAAUAUCAUCGUGAAACCUGCUUAUUUGGCGUAUAUUGUUAUGUUAUGUUAAAUAAAUAAUAGAAGAUAGU
Molecule: long non-coding RNA, 9145 nt
Organism: Mya arenaria
Lineage: Eukaryota; Metazoa; Mollusca; Bivalvia; Myida; Myidae
Exons: 6
Source: RefSeq, a predicted model, not a curated record